GAUGAACGCUGGCGGCGGGCCUAAUACAUGCAAGUCGAGCGGACAGACGGGGAGCUUGCUCCUCUGACGUUAGCGGCGGGGGGGUGAGUGACACGUGGGGGACGUAGCUAGAAGGCUGGGGUAAACUACGGGAACCGGUACUAAUAACGGCAAAUCUUUUCAACCGCAUGGUUCAGUACUUACAGACGUCUUUCCUUUCACUGAUACCAGGUGCCAGGCCGCAUUAGCUAGUUGGUCAGGUAACGGCUUACCAAGGCACCGAUGCGUCGCCGACCUGAGAGGGUGACCAGCCACACUGGAACUGAGACACGGUCCAGACUCCUACGGGAGGCAGCAGUAGGGAAUCUUCCGCAAUGGGCGAAAGCCUGAUGGAGCAACGCCGCGUGAAUGAUGAAGGUCUUCGGAUUGUAAAACUCUGUUAGUAGGGAGGAAGAAAGGUGUAUGUAUAUAUGCACGCAUUGACGUUACCCAAAGAGAAAGCCCCGGCUAACUACGUG
RNAcentral lists this ribosomal RNA (497 nucleotides) under uncultured bacterium. RNAcentral's name for it is "partial 16S ribosomal RNA". It matches the Rfam family "Bacterial small subunit ribosomal RNA", at positions 28 to 507 of the family's 1533-position model. The record is from RNAcentral.